UGUCGCAGGAUGAUGUGUUUGCUGCAGAUGCCAUUUGAAAAUAUAGGCAGUGUAAGCACUGUAGAAUCUAAUUAUUUCUUUGCAAAACCUAAUUAGGCAUUAAAAAAGGUUAACGCCAGCGCCUGAAACGUUUUUGUUUAAUAAUCCCAUUACUGACGGCUCAUCAUGUAUAAAAUGGUGCAGGAGGACACUAAGUUUCCACUUGUUAAAGGGAAUCUCUGAGAAAUAGUCGCAGAUUUUUGACACUAUCUGCGAUCGGAAAUUAGGGCUUGUAAUUAAACUGCGGAGACUCAGCACAGCACAGAAACUCUCCGAACGAUAGCGUACACUGAGACUAGACCUUGAUGAUUUUUUUAGGUGUCAGCUCCUCUCGGACCAUUACCAGUCACUAGAGAGCUCAAGAAAUGUGGGACUUCGGGGACGUUAAUGAUACCAGUAUAAGUCCCGCAUUGCUGCUGGGUGGAUGAGAACCAGCUGAGGAAGCUUUCUAAAGGUGAAGGUUAUUGAAAUCUCAACGUUAUCGUUUGAAAGCAAAUGGGACAAAUAUAUUAUAGGACAAUAUCAUUACUGUUUUAUAUUUAUCACGAUUUUGGCUUUUAGAAAGCCAGACUGCCUUUAAACAUUUUAAUGAUUAGAAACCCCUUGAGAUCAAACACCAGCACCAACAAACUCGCAGUUUCGAAUAAUUUACUCGAUUUUUUCCUCUUCUGUGGGUCGAGUUCUGUGGGUUAGGAGCCCCGAGCUUAAAAUAUGACACGACUUUUUUCCCUAAAAAGUAAGAAAAAAAUAUAAUAUAACACAAACAGCGUAAGUCUGCGUUUAAAUAAAAUAAAGUAAAAUAAAAUCUAAAAUAAACAAUCCGGAAGCCAGCCAAAGUAAUGAUAAGCUUUGAAAUUGUCUUGCCUUCAUAAUGUGGGGCCCUUCAAUCUGUUUUUUCAAUUUUUUUCUUUUUCUUUUUCUUUUUUAAACUGUACUUAUAUUUCGAUUUUUAAGUGUUAUUAUGGUUAUUUAUCGUCCGAGGACACGACUAUCAGUAACAGGGAAAACGAUGCAAGUAUUAUACUUACAGAAAUUGACUUCAGCAGAACAAUAUCUAUUGUCUUUGAUCUAAAGAAACACCCUUUUACGCAUUACGCACUCACUUUAUUCCGCUUUUAAUCUUUUCCUUCAAAGCUUCUUCAACAGUUUUCGAGAGAAAAAAGAAGGGAAAAAAGAAAGGAGUGUGAGUGACAGACCAAAGCGAAAAGCUUCUUAAAGAAAUAAACAGUCGUGUAUGCUUAAAGGAAUGCGCUUGUAGUGGCUCCAUCUUAGUCUCUGAAUCUAUUCGGACAAAACAAACAGGGCGUGGAAGGGGAUGAAAAUCGGGACAAGCGAGGAAGAAGAUGUUAAGAGAGAGUUGGUUUGAUAGGGAGGAAAAGAAGGACACGGUGAAUUUCCCUCAGACUGGUUAAAAGAACAAUAAAACGAGUUAUCAACAGACUCUGGCCUUUUUUCUCAAAGAAUGCGUUUCAAGCUUAUUUCACGAUGACUGCAGUGAUUAAUGGUGGGUGUGAAACCUCUAGGCGAACUGAUGAGGCCGAAUGAUAUCUUUAUAUCUUCAGGUUUAAAAAGUGAAGUUGUACAAUUUAUACAAAUGAAUGUUUUUGCUUAAUUUUUAUCCAAUCAAACUCCCAAAGAAAGCCGGAAUAAAGUCAGACACGCGUACCAGAUCUCCCCCAAGGCUAAAGGAAAGACAAAUAUUUACAUACCCGUUUACCUGCAGUAACUUGUCAGUUAUUUAAGUUAUUUAUUUGAGUUUGCUGUGCCUGUUUUCACUUCUGUCAGCUGGUUAAAAUAUACUUUGUUCUCUUGGCAGAUUUUAUUUGGAUUAGGGUUCUCUUACAAUCUUAAUAUUUUUUUUUUCACAAAAGAUAGAAAACAGCACACUAAAAUGUUUUUGAUUAAAUAUUUUAGGUUAUACAAAUUAUCCCUUAAUUUUAUUAGAACAUGCACAAUUUUCAAAAGAUAUCCUGCAAGUGGUCAUCUUACACAUGAUUGCUUUAACAGGCUGCUCUUAUAUAAGGCAAAAUGACAAAAACAGCAUGUUGACUCCUGAUAUUGGACCAUCUUGUUGGAGAUUUAGACCUGGAAUAUUUAUUUGAGCUAAACACUUUUGGAGGAGAUGUGAUCUACUGUUUAACAGACAAGUGGCUCCAGUUGUACCACAUUUUUGUCUGUUGUUUACAUGUAGUGUGUUUUCUUCAUUACAUUUGUAACGGCCCUCAGUUUGUGAUGGCCAUUACUGUCUGCUGCUGUAUGUGUUUACACACUAAAAACAGUUUUAUCACAUUUUGCAAAAUCUCUGAAAUCUUUUUUCAUGCCAGCCUUUUUUAUGCAAGUGCUCAGAAAUAAAACCUUCCCUGACAUGUUGGCUUUGAUUGACAUAAUGAUCACAGAACACUUAAGGCAAAUGAAAAUGAACUUGUUUGGAAGGUAAAACGUUAAAUAGAUUUAUCUUCCUGUAACAGGGGAGAUGUGUACAAUCAUACUGUAUUGUGUAACCAUUUUAAAUGUAUUAUGUGAGCCCUUAUUUCUUUUUAAAGUCUAACGUACAUCUAUCGAUAUUAUAGCUCACAUUAUAUGAAAUUAGAGCAAUUUGCAUAGAUGCACAUAGGUCUGGUUUUUGUCUUUCUUUUUGAUCAGUGUAUAUUAUUUACUGAUCAGCCAGGGUAUCUGGUGUCCACGCUUAGCACUGAGCCAAAAUCUAUUGAGAUAAAAAGCAAAAAGGGAUCUACCAGAAAGCUGACUUUCCCCCUUUUUUGGAAGUAAAGCCAUGUUUGUUUGUGGCUUGAAUGGGGGUUCUAUAAUGGAACUGAUGGCAUCAGGAUUGUCACCACAAAUGGUCUGGGCGUUCUGCAAGGCUGUUUGACAGAACCUAUUAUGUCAUUGGUCACGUCCCUCCACUCCUUGCUCGCUUGGUUUUGAAUGGGAGUGAAUUAAUCAAAUGGUUUGAGAGAGAUCAGCCAACUUAAUGCACUUUGUGUCAAGGUCUGCAGUGAUCUGGGACCUCAGCCCCCUUCUACCUGGACUUCCUGCAUCUGAACAUAUCCAUGCAUGGACUGUAACCUGGCUGAAUCAAAUUUCUAAAGGGACAUUUAUUAUGCCACAAAAACUGAAUUGUCUCUGCCCCUUUUUCCCCCAAGAGACUUUUUAUAAUAUAGCAUGAGUUGCCAUUUCAUCAUUUCUGUAGGUACUUAUUAGGUGUUAAAUAUACUAGUAUUGAAAGUAGCUAUGUGUCUAUGGCACCAUUUUUUAAAAAUGUUAUUUAUGUAACAGGCUAAAUCAUAUAUUUGCGAUGUUAUUGGACUGUAUGAGUCUGGAGUGGAAGACAAUUUAAACAGCACAUGGCUAUUUUUUUUUAUGUAUUUUCUAAUAAAUCAGCCUGUUUACUAUUACUAUUUUGAAGUUUAGUUUAUUUAAGAUCUUGAUGAAUUUACUGCUAAUAACAACCCCUAAAACAGAAUUUAUAACUAGAUUCUGUUGGGGGGUGUUGUGACUGCUCACUUAAUGACCACAGAAAUCGAGGACUGUGACACCAAUCAGAUUGUUUCUUCAUAUUGGAUUUACUUAAUUUCCAUGGAAAUUCACUCCUAGGGUUUCGUGAAGUUUAUCAGAUUCCACCCGGACAACAAGCAGUAAAGCCUUUAAAAGAGGAUCUGUUGGCUUCAGAAAUGAUCCUGAAAUACAUAUAUUUUUUAAUCAAAACUCAGCCACCAUCGUAUUUGUUUUCCAGGAGUGUAAAAUGGUCCAGAGUCGAGCGCCGUAACGUUAUUGCUUUAUCAAACACAAUCAAAAUGCGAAUUAAUCAAAGCACUCUGCGCUAGAGCACCUAUGCAUGAGCAUUGUUUGGUUGUAAUGGAUGGCUUUAAAAUUUGACGUUAUUAUUUCCCGUCAUUUCUGGAAACAAAUUGAACAUUUAUUGCAUAUAUAUUAAAAAUUAUACAGUCGUCAAGAGAGGCUGAUGUCUCUUUUAUUGAGGCGCACCGAGAGGUGAGGUCUCACCGGAUCAAUUUCCUUGUCUUGUUACUCCCGCAAGAGGAUGUUUGGAAAAUGCCUGCACCGCUAAAUUGAUUCAGAAACGAAUUCAUAACUUGAGGCGUUUAAGCAAUUUUGUGGCGCCCAGUUUUUAUCCCCAAUCUUUUCUUUUAUUUCGUGUUUUGAUUGCUUUAAGCACCCAAACAAAGUUUUAUACCAUUCGGUUUCUCGUGGAAACAGGUUUAUUGUCAGUUCUGCGGCCUUUUGUCCACGUUUGCCUAUUUUUCAUUCUUUACAAAAAAAUGCAUUUAAUACACUGGGUUUUGGGUGGCUUCGCAAACAUAGCCAUUAAGCAGUCACAAUGCUUUUAUUGUGCACUUGAUCUCAAAAUAGAGGCUGGUCUGACUCCAGGAUCCAGACAAACCUAUGGAAAAGGCCUUGUCUUUGUCUGCCUGUACGGAGAUGAAUGGCCCGUGUCAACCAGAUGAUUAGUUUGCACUAUUAAAUUGUCAAAAAGGAAGGAUUUUUCCCUAAUAGUGCCUUUUCGUGAAGAAUUAUGGAAUUCAGAGUUGUUUGCGACUGCCGGGGAACUUGCAGGGCUUUGCAGGGGCGAGGGCGAAGGUCAGACAGAGUUCUCAGCGCUGCGUCCAGUGUAGCACAGCAGUCAGAAGGGAAGUGGAGACAAAUGUAGGCUUAUUUCCUACACCAUGGGAAGAUUAAUACCUAUUGUUCGAGAUGACCGAUAUCCUUGCAGUGACAUAUGAUUCAACAAACUGAGGUGGGUUUAUCUUAACGCGCGAUAAGUCACCCAAAUCUUAAAACUUAGUGUGUAAUUGCGCACCAACAACUCGGCACAAAUGAUCAGCAAAUCGUCUAAGAACACUCAUAUAACUUAAAUUGGAAUUAUUUGUUCAAAUUUAAAAUAACGAAGCUGCUGCAUAAUAUCAAACGCACAAAAUGUGCAGUCUUGCGCCAGAUCUGUCGCUGCACAUUGGCUGUCUUUCUGCACGCCCUGACAGUUCUGCUCCAGCCAGGAAACCCCCUUCCAUCCCGCUCAACCUCUAUUCUAGUGCCAACGUUUUGUGUUAAAUGUUAACAACUUGGCCUGAUUCAUUUAAUCGCCAACAAAUCUGUGUUGACUCUAACACUCGCCUCCAUUGUGCCCAUUAUGCGCCUGCCCUCACUUGAAGAUUUAUGUAUUUUUGAUAUUAAAUUCCUUCUGUCAUCAAGACUGCUCUCUUGUUGACUUUUCUUGACCUGCCGACCUCGUUCCCCAAACUUUCCCAUAUUUAACGCGGGACCCGCAGCCUCCUCCCCACCAACUUCUUCUGCUCUGCCAUAGCUGAAUGCUCAGUGGCUCCUUUUGUUGGCAUGUGCUGUUUGCACUGUUCUUGAACUUCAGUGCGCUGCCCUGUCCUCAUCCUGUACUUUGAACUCUGCAGUAAAAUCUUCCGUCGAAAAAAAACACACGCAUUGUUCGCCAACGGAUGGAGUCAGUCCCUUAAAUGUUGCACACUCUUUAAUUUGCUAUAAAACAGAGUGGACGGACUGUCCGAGCAUCAUAAUUUGGCCGAUGUGACGGAUUAUUAUCUGAUCCUUGAUGCUCACUAUCCACGCAGUCUUGGCUGGAUUUGUGUGCUCCAUCCACAUCAUCCAAACUGCAUUCAUCCUCUGUUGAAUCAGAGUGACGGAUGCCCGUACCUUUGCCAUAUAUGACGUCCAUGUCGUCUAUACAAGCCUCCCUCUGGUUGCCCAGCUUGCUAAUUAGUUAAACAAACGUUCAUACUAAUGAUCCCACUGGCCUGGUGAGCUUCGGGGUUUUUGUUCGCCUACUUUCCCCCAACUUCUCCCGCUGGAAACUUGGCCCUGCUGACCCGAGCUAUCACGAAGCUGUGUAGAUGGCUGGACCGCCCUGUCCGGAGUCCAACCCCCACAGAGGGCAAAGGGCAGCGUCCAAGGCCCGGGAAUGUCACCACCAGCUGCUUGCGGUGACACCAUUUACAAAGGGGGCUUGGUGAGCAAUCCUUCUAUGGGUUGUCAGUGUUGUGACAGUGCUGUUCUGACAUUUAUUUACUUGUAGGAUCAAAACUGACGGUUUGGCUUAAGCAAAGAGCCAAGUUGUACAUUGGUUCAAAGGUAAAGAAAGCAUCUGCUAAUGCUUUAUAAAUUAGUUAUAUUCCACUAAUAAUGAGAUGCUGGCAGUUGGCAGGUGAUGAAAACUACCUGACUGGUGUCUGUAGAUAAUCUGUAUUAAUUACUGACUCGUAAAACGUAUUAAUGCUAAUAACUAUAGACAAGAACCAUACAAUUUAUCAGUGAAGUAUUAAUAUGUUUAAAUAAGGCAUCAAAUACAGAGGUUAACAACCUGGUAGACCCAUGCUGUAACUUUUGCCAUCGUAAUUAAGGGAGGAAAGACCCCAGGUCUAAUAGCAUUGUGUUUGAUCAUUUGAAAGUCAGUAGUUAGAAAUUUGCAGCUUUUUUCUUAGUGCAGUAAAUAAAUAAAUAAAAGCGAUCUGCAGUCUAACAGCGGUAAGUAUCUAUGAAUUGCUAAUACCAGCAACAUUUAAACCAGAAAGUGCUUUCGCAGCAAUGCAAAAUGUUCAUGCAACAUAUUUUUGUGUUUAUUCAUUAGACUGAUUAAUGAAUGCAUCGCCUGCCAGAGAAGUGAUUAGUUAACAAGAUUAUUCCGAUUAAAUAUUUAAUAAUGUUGUCAUUCUUCCACCAAUAUAAACAGUGCCUGGGGUAAACUGCAGCAACGCAAAUAGUAACGGUAAUUAUAGGCAAUAAGGCGGUCAUAAGCGAAAGGUUUGUGCGUUUAUGUGAAAGCUAUCCUGGGUUUAUGUCCCGCUCUUCCUAAAUUCAAACGUUUUUCUUUCUCUGCAGCGCGCCGUGCGGUUAACACUGGGCCCAUUACACGUUGUCAUUUGUGGCUCUUGGUGUUAUUUGGACAAUGUUUGGCCAUUUACCCAGCCUGUGUCUGCGCGCUCCAAGGAGGUCUCGACAGAAAUUGAUACUAAUUGCAGGGACUGUACACUGCUGGCUAGUGGAGCGCCUGCAGGCAGUUGGAGGACCUGCUUGUCACCGCCUAAUUGACAAGGGCUUGUCUGUCCUGGGAGCAGCUGGUCCUAAGCACUGGCGCACAAUCGCAAUCUUGACACGGCCUCCACUCGCCUGAAGGAGUUUUGAGGGGAAACGCCGUUAAAGGGAGAUUUAUUGAAUCUCCCUUUGGGUGACGCUGUAUUAAGUACGCAAUAUAGGCUUAUAUCCACGGGUGCAAAAGGGAGUCACACUCCUGGUAUUAAUAACAGAAGGUGGCAAUUAGGCCAGACAGGUGACAUUUCUUGUGACAUUAUGAAUCACAGCAAACAAGACAAGCGCGGGUAAAUAAAGGCUAUGUGAAAUCGCUUUUAAGGAAAAGUUAUUUUACUUUUAGCAGCUACAUGACACACAAUGAGCCUGUAUGCGCAAAUCGGAUGACUUCAGGGGGAUGUGUUGCACCAGCCAUUCAGCUGGCUCAGACACAAAUAACAUCACCCCUCACAGUAAAAUAAUCAAUUCAUUAUUCUGGCCUGUUUCUAUUAGACCAUGUCGUUAUAGCUGAAUGCAUCAGGAGGAAAAAGCCAAGCAAGUAUUGUUUUCGUCUGCAAAUGGAAAAAGGUUUUCCUGCACUUUCCCACUGCCUGUAAAGAAAUGCUGCUUUUCUGGGCCUUUUGAACUGAAAAUCGUGAUUUUUCCCCUGGUGUUCUCCGGACGCGCUCCUUUCUUUCUGCGGAACAAUGACAACACUGGAGCACCCCGCCGGUGCGCCACAGUUGGGGAUCUCCAUGAUUGUUUUGGACAUCUUUGGAUUUCAUCAAUCAAAAUGACUGCAGUUUUCCAUAAAAAUGCUGAAUUUGGUCCUGGAACCGAGCGGGCAAGGUAGAAAAUACGAAGCUGUCCUUCUCGAUGAUAAAUGGCCAUCCUUUGAUUGAGCAAAUAGAGAAAUACGUGCCAUAGUACUGAGAAACAGGCGAAGAUUGUGAGGCGAGGACUCAUGGUCUUGUGUCAGAUCAUGCCAGAAAUGAAUCACCACAAAUCAUUAGGCUAUAAAAGCGACUGCAUUUUCCCAAACCCUGGAAAUCUGUAAGGCUUAAGAGCAGGCUAGAUCUUAACUGAUCCACACUUAAGUAAAACUUAAGUAGCUUAAUGGCCACUAUUACCAGAACGAUAAGUAUUACGCACGCUUAAGAAAAAUGUUAAAACUCUUUUUACACUAGUGCCAUGAAGGUUAUUUUUCAACUACUCAAGCCGAAACAGUGAGUGUCAGACAGACAUUAAGUUCACCAACGGGUGCCAUAUCAUACCGAUAAUAUUGGUCUUUAUUUUACCAGGUUAAGUGUAACAAAUGAAACGCGUGCUCAUAAACUUAAAGGAGGCUUUGGCCUGGAACUAUAGGGAGCUGGUCCACUAUCCCUGCCUGCCCUCCCAUCCAAUAAACCUCUAUUAACAUGGAAAUGUCACAUCCCAUUGACUAAAACUCAAUUAUGUGCACACUCGCAGCAUCUUUAGAGUGGACUAAAACUUUUAAUUUCCCCAAAAAGCCGUUUUGAUUUAAUGGCCAUUCAGAAGCCCAUGAAGGUGUUCUAUCUAAAUGGCCUUAAUGCCGCGGCUAAUUAUCCAGUAUUGACAUAUUGUCCCGCCUCAGGUCAACAGGUCAGCAGUUGGAGAUUAAUGACACCGGAAGGAGGUUGUAGGAAGAGGUAACAAGGAAACCUGACUGUAAUUUUUUAUAUUGCAAUAUAAUACUUAAGAUUUUGUUCACUUCAAUGUUUUCGGCUAUAACAGGCCGUGUAAUGUUACUCAGACAUUGUUGGGGUGGUUUUUACCUUCGUGUUUACUGCUCAUAUAAAAUCCCAUCAAUGGCCCUCCUAGAUUAUUUAUUAUUCAAAUGAGAAUUUAUAGUUUCUACUUUAUAAGUAGCGACUUUCGGUUUAGGUUUGUAUCUUUCUUUUUGCUUUUAUCACCACGGUUAUAUUUCUGUUUUCAUAUAGCGUAUUUUCUUUUAAUGAUUUUAGGCUAGUAGUGCAUUCUUGUAAGGACUCUUCCCCUCCCUCAUUCCCUCUAAAAGAUACAACAGAACUGACUGGCUUGUCGAGCUUGAAGAAUUGUUUAAUUUCAGAGCCCCGGCGUUUCCUGAGGUGAGGUCUGCAUUGGCUGCUAAUAGAGAUCUAAUUGAUGGGCCGAGUCCCGUUUCCGUGCUCUCUCUCCCUUUAUUGCGCCCCGGCGUCUGCUGUAAAAUAGGUCUGUAAUCAGAUUCCGCCUAUUCCUCCUGGAGCAGGAUGAGAGCUCAGGGCUGCGGAGAGAAAGAGAUGGGGCAAAAAAAAGAAAGAACAGGGGGGAAAAAAUCGUUAUUAAAAAAGUUAAGCCUUGAGUAGAAAUUCAACAUACUGUUGAGGCUUGAUGAAAAAGAGGAAAGUCGGCUUUAACAUACAAAUUGCCUGACUUUUCUUUAAAUAAACCCACAUUAUUACUAUAGAACCCUCCAGUGCGGCUGCAGCACUCAUUAGUGAUUUUUUUAAUCUGUCAGAAUAGCCUUUUUCUCCUUUGGGAUUUAUAGGUUUGCAAUAUUUUUUAUACUGAACUCUUACAAGAUUAAUAUAGAUCUGUCAUAAAAGGCUUUGAUAUUGCUGACAAAUGCGCCUUCUAUAAUUAUUAUUUUAACAUGGUUAUAUGUGCUUUCAUGACUCGCACUCUUAGUUCAUGAUCUAAUCAAAUAUCACACAGUCCACUGUUGUUGUCAUUCACCCAGAAGGUACAGAAGAUGUCAAUCAAAUCAGACUGGCAGCAACAGAAACACACUGAUUCUCUAUUUUUUAUUUUUUUUUGCCAUCUCCUCUGCU
This is a long non-coding RNA of Haplochromis burtoni (Burton's mouthbrooder), 9893 nucleotides long. RefSeq lists it as uncharacterized. The record is from RefSeq and is a predicted model, not a curated record. NCBI's taxonomy places the organism in Eukaryota, Metazoa, Chordata, Actinopteri, Cichliformes, Cichlidae. The transcript is spliced from 3 exons.